AGAGAGAGACAUGCGCGCAUAUCAAUAAGCGGAGGAAAAGAAACUAACAAGGAUUCCCCUAGUAACGGCGAGUGAAGCGGGAAGAGCUCAAAUUUGAAAUCUUAAAGGGUUUCCCUUUACGAAUUGUAGUUUAAAGAAGUGUUUUCUGUUGAGGUUUUGGUAAAAGUUCUUUGGAAUAGGACAUCAUAGAGGGUGAGAAUCCCGUAUUUGACCUUUACUUUCAACUUUGUGAUACACUUUCAAAGAGUCGGAUUGUUUGGGAAUGCAGUCCAAAAUGGGUGGUAAAUUUCAUCUAAAGCUAAAUAUUGGCGAGAGACCGAUAGCGAACAAGUACCGUGAGGGAAAGAUGAAAAGAACUUUGAAAAGAGAGUUAAACAGUACGUGAAAUUGUCAAAAGGGAAGCGUUUGACACCAGUGUUGUUUUUCUGAAAAUCAAUUAAAGAACUGUUUAUGCUAAGUUGUUUAGACUUUAUCAGCUAUCUGUUUAGUUUUGAGCUUUUCUUUAAUGCACUUUUCAGUUAACAAGUCAACAUCAAUUUCUUUUGCUGUAAAAAAGCUUGAGGAAGGUGGCUUGAGAUUCGUCUUAAGUGUUUAUAGCCUCUUGCCUAUGCAGUCGGAGAGAUUGAGGUCUGCAGCGUAGAUCCUUCGGGGCUAAAUGCAUUUGUGCUAAGUUAUAGCAUUUUAUAGACAACUUGUUGACUAUGAUUUGUCUUGUAGCUUACUCGCUUAUGUUAUUUUACCUACGCUUAGGAUGUUGACGCAUGAGAUAUACG
This 773-nucleotide ribosomal RNA is filed under the name uncultured Neocallimastigales. Its description in RNAcentral is "partial large subunit ribosomal RNA". It matches the Rfam family "Eukaryotic large subunit ribosomal RNA", at positions 23 to 646 of the family's 3401-position model. The record is from RNAcentral. Lineage: Eukaryota; Fungi; Neocallimastigomycota; Neocallimastigomycetes; Neocallimastigales.